GGAAGUAAAAGUCGUAAUAAGGUUUCCGUAGGUGAACCAGCGGAGGGAUCAUUACCGAGUGCAAACUCAUAACCCUUUGUGAACCUAUAUCUGUUGCUUCGGCGGCUCGCUCUCGGGCGAGCCCGCCGGUAAUAUCAGUAUCUCUGUUUGAACCCGACGAUACUUCUGAGUGUUCUUAGCGAACAGUUAAAACUUUUAACAACGGAUCUCUUGGCUCUA
This 219-nucleotide unclassified non-coding RNA is filed under the name plant metagenome. Its description in RNAcentral is "partial contains small subunit ribosomal RNA, internal transcribed spacer 1, and 5.8S ribosomal RNA". The stretch from base 1 to 54 matches the Rfam family "Eukaryotic small subunit ribosomal RNA", at positions 1778 to 1831 of the family's 1831-position model. The record is from RNAcentral.